GACGAACGCUGGCGGCGUGCUUAACACAUGCAAGUCGAACGGUGAAGCGCCUUCCUUUUUGGUGGGUGUGGAUGAGUGGCGAACGGGUGAGUAACACGUGAGUAACCUGCCCCCUUCUUCUGGAUAACCGCAUGAAAGUGUGGCUAAUACGGGAUAUUCUGGGUCUGUCGCAUGAUGGGUCUGGGAAAGAUAUUGUUUCGGUGGGGGAUGGGCUCGCGGCCUAUCAGCUUGUUGGUGGGGUGAUGGCCUACCAAGGCGGUGACGGGUAGCCGGCCUGAGAGGGUGGACGGUCACACUGGGACUGAGACACGGCCCAGACUCCUACGGGAGGCAGCAGUGGGGAAUAUUGCACAAUGGGCGCAAGCCUGAUGCAGCGACGCCGCGUGAGGGAUGGAGGCCUUCGGGUUAUGAACCUCUUUCGCCAGUGAAGCAGGCCUGCCUCGUUUGUGGGUGGGUUGACGGUAGCUGGAGAAGAAGCGCCGGCUAACUACGUG
This 494-nucleotide ribosomal RNA is filed under the name uncultured bacterium. RNAcentral's name for it is "partial 16S ribosomal RNA". It matches the Rfam family "Bacterial small subunit ribosomal RNA", at positions 28 to 507 of the family's 1533-position model. The record is from RNAcentral.